RNAcentral lists this transfer RNA (72 nucleotides) under Diaphorina citri (Asian citrus psyllid). It matches the Rfam family "tRNA". Rfam says of the family: Transfer RNA (tRNA) molecules are approximately 80 nucleotides in length. Their secondary structure includes four short double-helical elements and three loops (D, anti-codon, and T loops). Further hydrogen bonds mediate the characteristic L-shaped molecular structure. tRNAs have two regions of fundamental functional importance: the anti-codon, which is responsible for specific mRNA codon recognition, and the 3' end, to which the tRNAs corresponding amino acid is attached (by aminoacyl-tRNA synthetases). tRNAs cope with the degeneracy of the genetic code in two manners: having more than one tRNA (with a specific anti-codon) for a particular amino acid; and 'wobble' base-pairing, i.e. permitting non-standard base-pairing at the 3rd anti-codon position. The record is from Rfam by way of RNAcentral. Lineage: Eukaryota; Metazoa; Arthropoda; Insecta; Hemiptera; Psyllidae.
GCUCCCAUGGCGCAGUGGUCACUGCAUUCGCCUAGCAUGCGGGAGACCCGGGUUCGAUUCCCGGUGGUGUCG